Cucurbita maxima (winter squash) is the source of this 929-nucleotide long non-coding RNA. RefSeq lists it as uncharacterized. The transcript has 3 exons. NCBI's taxonomy places the organism in Eukaryota, Viridiplantae, Streptophyta, Magnoliopsida, Cucurbitales, Cucurbitaceae. The record is from RefSeq and is a predicted model, not a curated record.
AAAAAAAAAUUGAAACAAACAAACCAACAAAAGAACAUGAGAUCCUUAGUUCUUCUUCUCGCCCUAAGCCAUUGCAGGGCCGCUUUCGCGAGCUUCAACUUCAUGAAAAAACUUGGGCGCUUUGUGAUUGUGGCUCAAACUCCUAGUGCUUCUUGAAAAUGAAAGUUCCGGAUGGCUUCUCAUGCUCCGCCGCCCUACGUUCGUCAUUGAUUUGCUCAGCAAUGGUGGAUUCUUGAAGAACAAGCAAAUCACUGUACAGUCAUCGAUCGUCAACCCUAUAAAUCUGCGUUUCCAUUCUCGGGCUGCUAGUUUCACUACUAAUUUCGCCGCCAUGGAUCGGUUCUUGGCUGAAGCAACUAUGUUGAUUACUUGCUUGUUCGUCAGUACAUCCCAGAUCUGCGAGUUCGUGGCGACUUCAGGGGUUGGGAUGAGGCCGUAAUCCUUGAGGCAAAAAUCUCCAAAGGAUCUUGACAUGGCGAGGCCAGGAUAAUCUGCAUCUGGUACCCAUACUCUGUAAAUAUCUGGUUCUUCUUUAUCUGCUGUGAUUCUCCCCUGGCAUUUCUUUAUUCUUUCUGCUUCGCCUGUUUCACAUUCAAAACAUAGUACUCAAGAUUAAUUGAUAGAUACCAAAAGAGUUGAGCUACACAUUAUAACUCCUAAUCAAAAGAUCAUAGUUUCAAGUUUUCACACUUCAUUAGAACCAAAAAGAAAUUGAUUGAUGCCCAAUGGAUCGAGUAUAAUUCAAUUGGUUAUCAAGUUAUAUCUUCAACUAAAAGUUUGUAGAUGUUGAGGAUUGUUGAGAGAAAGUCCUGCAUUGGCUAAUUAAGGAAUAUAUCUCACCAAAAAGCGCACAGCCAUGAGAGCUUAUGUUCAAAGUAGACAAUAUCAUACUAUUGUAGAGGUUCAUAGUUUCUAACAUGGUAUCAGAA